Molecule: non-coding RNA, 232 nt
Organism: Pelobates cultripes (western spadefoot toad)
Lineage: Eukaryota; Metazoa; Chordata; Amphibia; Anura; Pelobatidae
Source: the annotation of a GenBank genome assembly
GGGGACAGUGUGUGAGCAGUGUGUGUGUGUGUGUGUGAAGGUUGUAGUGUGUGAGUAGGGGGGGCAGUGUAUGUCAGGGAUGCAGUGUAUGUGUGGGACAGUAUGUGUGUGUAACAGUUGCAGUGUGUGUGUGAAUGUGGGCAAUGUGUGUGUAUGGGGCGGCAGUGUAUGGGGGCAGUGUGUGUGUAUGCGGGGCAGUAUGUGUGUAUGAGGGCAGUAUGUGUAUGGGGGG